RNAcentral lists this ribosomal RNA (501 nucleotides) under uncultured bacterium. RNAcentral describes it as "partial 16S ribosomal RNA". It matches the Rfam family "Bacterial small subunit ribosomal RNA", at positions 29 to 523 of the family's 1533-position model. The record is from RNAcentral.
AUUGAACGCUGGCGGCAUGCCUUACACAUGCAAGUCGAACGGCAGCACGGGUGCUUGCACCUGGUGGCGAGUGGCGAACGGGUGAGUAAUACAUCGGAACGUACCUUAUCGUGGGGGAUAACGCAGCGAAAGCUGUGCUAAUACCGCAUACGCCCUGAGGGGGAAAGCGGGGGAUCGAAAGACCUCGCGCGAUUAGAGCGGCCGAUGCCUGAUUAGCUUGUUGGUGGGGUAAAAGCCCACCAAGGCGACGAUCAGUAGCGGGUCUGAGAGGACGAUCAGCCACACUGGGACUGGGACGCGGCCCAGACUCCUACGGGAGGCAGCAGUGGGGAAUUUUGGAAAAUGGGGGCAACCCUGAUCCAGCAAUGCCGCGUGAGUGAAGAAGGCCUUCGGGUUGUAAAGCUCUUUUGUCAGGGAAGAAACACCGGCUCUAACACAGUCCGGGAAUGACGGUACCUGAAGAAUAAGCACCGGCUAACUACGUGCCAGCCGCCGCAGUAA